RNAcentral lists this ribosomal RNA (385 nucleotides) under Brevibacillus borstelensis. Its description in RNAcentral is "bacterial SSU rRNA". It matches the Rfam family "Bacterial small subunit ribosomal RNA", at positions 1131 to 1515 of the family's 1533-position model. The record is from RNAcentral. Lineage: Bacteria; Bacillati; Bacillota; Bacilli; Caryophanales; Paenibacillaceae.
UUGGGCACUCUAGAGAGACUGCCGUCGACAAGACGGAGGAAGGCGGGGAUGACGUCAAAUCAUCAUGCCCCUUAUGACCUGGGCUACACACGUGCUACAAUGGCUGGUACAACGGGAAGCUAGCUCGCGAGAGUAUGCCAAUCUCUUAAAACCAGUCUCAGUUCGGAUUGCAGGCUGCAACUCGCCUGCAUGAAGUCGGAAUCGCUAGUAAUCGCGGAUCAGCAUGCCGCGGUGAAUACGUUCCCGGGCCUUGUACACACCGCCCGUCACACCACGGGAGUUUGCAACACCCGAAGUCGGUGAGGUAACCGCAAGGAGCCAGCCGCCGAAGGUGGGGUAGAUGACUGGGGUGAAGUCGUAACAAGGUAUCCGUACCGGAAGGUGC